This 253-nucleotide ribosomal RNA is filed under the name uncultured bacterium. RNAcentral describes it as "partial 16S ribosomal RNA". It matches the Rfam family "Bacterial small subunit ribosomal RNA", at positions 524 to 776 of the family's 1533-position model. The record is from RNAcentral.
GACGAAGGUGGCUAGCGUUGCUCGGAUUUACUGGGCAUAAAGCGCGCGUAGGUGGUCGUGUAAGCGGGUGAUGAAAGCCCAUGGCUCACCCAUGGAACUGUCCCCCGGACUGCACGGCUCGAGGAAGGAAGGGGAGAAUGGAAUUCCCGGUGUAGCGGUGAAAUGCGUAGAUAUCGGGAGGAACGCCGGUGGCGAAAGCGAUUCUCUGGUCCUUUCCUGACACUGAGGCGCGAAAGCUAGGGGAGCAAACAGG